GACGAACGCUGGCGGCGUGCUUAACACAUGCAAGUCGAACGAUGAAGCCGGAGCUUGCUCCGGUGGAUUAGUGGCGAACGGGUGAGUAACACGUGAGCAAUCUGCCCUUGACUCUGGGAUAACUGCGGGAAACUGUAGCUAAUACCGGAUACGACACCUUGGGGCAUCCCAGGGUGUGGAAAGAAUUUCGGUCAAGGAUGAGCUCGCGGCCUAUCAGCUAGUUGGUGAGGUAAUGGCUCACCAAGGCGACGACGGGUAGCCGGCCUGAGAGGGGGACCGGCAACACGGGAACUGAGACACGGACCAGACUCCUACGGGAGGCAGCAGUGGGGAAUAUUGCACAAUGGGCGAAAGCCUGAUGCAGCAACGCCGCGUGAGGGAUGAAGGCCUUCGGGUUGUAAACCUCUUUUAGCAGGGAAGAAGCGAAAGUGACGGUACCUGCAGAAAAAGCACCGGCUAACUACGUGCCAGCCGCCGCGGUAA
This 483-nucleotide ribosomal RNA is filed under the name uncultured bacterium. Its description in RNAcentral is "partial 16S ribosomal RNA". It matches the Rfam family "Bacterial small subunit ribosomal RNA", at positions 28 to 523 of the family's 1533-position model. The record is from RNAcentral.